Molecule: ribosomal RNA, 253 nt
Filed under: uncultured bacterium
Lineage: Bacteria
Description: partial 16S ribosomal RNA
Rfam family: Bacterial small subunit ribosomal RNA
Source: RNAcentral
GACAGAGGAUGCAAGCGUUAUCCGGAAUGAUUGGGCAUAAAGCGUCUGUAGGUGGCUUUUCAAGUCCGCCAUCAAAUCCCAGGGCUCAACCCUGGACAGGCGGUGGAAACUACCAAGCUGGAGUAUGGUAGGGGCAGAGGGAAUUUUCGGUGGAGCGGUGAAAUGCAUUGAGAUCGGAAAGAACACCAACGGCGAAAGCACUCUACUGGGCCGACACUGACACUGAGAGACGAAAGCUAGGGGAGCAAAUGGG